This 497-nucleotide ribosomal RNA is filed under the name uncultured bacterium. RNAcentral's name for it is "partial 16S ribosomal RNA". It matches the Rfam family "Bacterial small subunit ribosomal RNA", at positions 28 to 507 of the family's 1533-position model. The record is from RNAcentral.
GAUGAACGCUGGCAGCGUGCCUAAUACGUGCAAGUCGAGCGAACGGACGAGAAGCUUGCUUCUCUGAUGUUAGCGGCGGACGGGUGAGUAACACGUGGAUAACCUACCUAUAAGACUGGGAUAACUUCGGGAAACCGGAGCUAAUACCGGAUAAUAUUUUGAACCGCAUGGUUCAAAAGUGAAAGACGGUCUUGCUGUCACUUAUAGAUGGAUCCGCGCUGCAUUAGCUAGUUGGUAAGGUAACGGCUUACCAAGGCAACGAUGCAUAGCCGACCUGAGAGGGUGAUCGGCCACACUGGAACUGAGACACGGUCCAGACUCCUACGGGAGGCAGCAGUAGGGAAUCUUCCGCAAUGGGCGAAAGCCUGACGGAGCAACGCCGCGUGAGUGAUGAAGGUCUUCGGAUCGUAAAACUCUGUUAUUAGGGAAGAACAUAUGUGUAAGUAACUGUGCACAUCUUGACGGUACCUAAUCAGAAAGCCACGGCUAACUACGUG